GUUAGCCGUGGCUUUCUGGUUAGGUACCGUCAAGGUGCCGCCCUAUUCGAACGGUACUUGUUCUUCCCUAACAACAGUAGUUUUACGAUCCGAAAACCUUCAUCACUCACGCGGCGUUGCUCCGUCAGACUUUCGUCCAUUGCGGAAGAUUCCCUACUGCUGCCUCCCGUAGGAGUCUGGGCCGUGUCUCAGUCCCAGUGUGGCCGAUCACCCUCUCAGGUCGGCUACGCAUCGUCGCCUUGGUGAGCCGUUACCUCACCAACUAGCUAAUGCGCCGCGGGUCCAUCUGUAAGUGGUAGCUAAAAGCCACCUUUUAUGAUUGAACCAUGCGG
RNAcentral lists this ribosomal RNA (332 nucleotides) under Bacillus licheniformis. RNAcentral's name for it is "partial 16S ribosomal RNA". Lineage: Bacteria; Bacillati; Bacillota; Bacilli; Caryophanales; Bacillaceae. The record is from RNAcentral.